GGUUUAUAAAUAUUUAUUACUUAACUUCAUAUUAAACUAUGAAAUAAUAGUUUGUAGGAUUUUCUUUAUAAAUAUGGUAUUUCUAUUGAGCAACAAACAUCAACAAAAAAUAUACACUAUCUGUAACAACAAAGACAUUAAGUUUUGUACCCAGGAGUUAUCUCCCAUAUCACAACCUUAUUUUAUAUCACAAAUUUUCCAUUUUACUUUCAGAACAUUGACAUUGUCCUAUUAUUUUUCAAAGUAUUUCAAGACACAUAAAUUGCAUUGACUUUCAAACUGGUGUUGGGUUAAACUAUAAAAUGAGAUAUUUGAAGGAGACAGUAUCAUUCAGUUUGCAGACCACAUUUUUUUUUAUCUUCAGCAUAACAUAACUAAUUGAUAAAUGAUUUAGGAUGGUUGUAUGAGCCAUCAGAAAGGUUGUCAUAUUGAAGCAUCACCAGACCUCAUCAAUGACAGAGAACAGAUCUAAAUGAAGUUUUAUUUCCUAUACUCUUUUCACAGCAACAUGAAUCAUCUCUUUUGAUGUUUGCUUGCAUUGAGUCAUUUUUCACAAUUCUUAUUAGGGAUGACUUUAAAAUUAUUACUAUGGUUUCAUUUAUUUUCAUUGGUUACAAUAUUCGUGGAUUGAGGAAAACUUGUAUUUUUGUGUAUACUUGAUUUCAUUGUUUUGUCUCUGCAUACAAAGCCUAUAUAAACUUGGACUAUACCAACAAAACCCAUGAAAAUCAGUAUCCAAUGAAUGAUAAUGAAUCCACAGUAUUGUAUUACUGAAAAUGAAAAGAAACAUAAGAUAUCAUAAUACAGAUUGACCUAUUGGUCUAUAACAGAUUUGAAAUAAGAUUUUUAGCAGAGAAUGGAUAACUUUUGAUGGUAGCUUUUCUAAAGACUUUCCAACGCUAUUACAAAUAAUAUCAUAUACUAUCAUCAACUUGUACAUGUGCACUGGUUAUAAUGUCAUUUCAGUUACCAAGGGAGACAACUCUAAAUAUUAUACAUUUAACAUGGGAUUACACAGUAAAUUGAAAAAGGCACUAGGGAUCUGGUAUAAAUAACCAAUUACAGAAACAUAUUGAACUCUAUACAAUGGAUGGUGUUUUCUAUAUUUACAACUUUAAUAAAAAAAAAGACACAAAUAUAAUUUACUAUAAUAGCUGUAUAUUGGAUACCAUUAGCACUAUCUUUCUUAAAGAGCAGAGUAUGAUAAAAUUAAAACGAAUAAAAGGAGAUGUGCAGCAAACAACAAUGAAAAUAAAAUGGAACAUGUCAUUUGACAUUAGGGCAAACAUUAUACCAAGCUUGAUGAGUUUUUUUUGUCAGGUUUGAGUUUUUUAUAUGCCAACAAGGGUUUAAUGCACAAGUAAAGAAGGACAAAACAUGUCAAACUCAUUCAAACCUUGUUAAGAUCUGACUAAUUCCCUGAAGCUAUUAUAAAAUUGAGAAAGGAAAUGGGGAAUGUGUCAAAUCUACAACAACCCGACCAUAGAGCAGACAACAGAUAACCUGUUUUUUUUUUUGUUUUACUUGUGCUGUAGGGUGUUACCCAUUACAUUAACCACACAUCUCCUUUUAUUCAUAUUACUUAACCCCUUCCACAAUUUUAAUUUUAGGAAUGUUUAAUGGUUUGGCUUCAUGAGGUAUCUUUCUGAUUUUAUAUAUGUAGUAUUUAUCAUGCUGAAUUAUUAUAAGGCAUUGAUUUUGGUACCAGGCUGUAACCAGAAUUAUAAUUUACAAAGAAGCAUGUCUUCAUGUACUCAGAUGGAUAAUUAGAUGAUAUAGUUAUAAUCAUUCAAUUCUAAUAAUAUAGCACCAUUUUGAAUAUGUAUUUUUAACACAGCUAUGAGGGAUGGAGGUAGUCAAAGUUUAUCAAAGUCAAAAUUCUUUGUAUAGGGUUCCAAAAAAAUGGUUUUCUGAUUACAUUAUUACAUAAAAAGAAUCCACCAAGUUAGGUUUCACAGUUAACAUUCACUAUAAAGAAUGAUCCAACCAAGUUUCACAGUAGACAGAUUCCAGAAAGUUAGGUUUCACAGUUAACUAUAAAUGACAAGGUUCAGUUUAAAUAUGGUUUUGAUACUUUCAUUAACAUUAAACAAAUAUGGGACAUUCAAGAAGGCAUAUUAACAAAAGAUAUAAAAUUCUUAAGUGAUUUGAGAGCAAUUUUAAUGACUACUCUGUUUAGAGUUGAUCAUUUUUUGGUGUACAGUAACAAAUAUUUGAAAAAUUAACCAU
This 2229-nucleotide long non-coding RNA is filed under the name Mytilus galloprovincialis (Mediterranean mussel). The record is from RNAcentral. Lineage: Eukaryota; Metazoa; Mollusca; Bivalvia; Mytilida; Mytilidae.